Delphinapterus leucas (beluga whale) is the source of this 985-nucleotide non-coding RNA. Lineage: Eukaryota; Metazoa; Chordata; Mammalia; Artiodactyla; Monodontidae. The record is from RefSeq and is a predicted model, not a curated record.
UCAAAUAUCGAAGAAUCUUAAACCAGGGACACCAGCCCCAGCGAAGGAAGACCUUGAGCUAUUUCAAAGCGCAGACACCUCGAUUCCCCGAAUUUGUUGUGUGGCCGGUAUCGGUGUUCCCCUGGUUUAACUAGCCUGUCUGUUCUCGUGAUGAGCUUGGUACUUCUUCGAUCGUCACGGACACCCUCCGCUGCUUGACACAGUUGAUUUUGUGUAAUUUAUGUUACCUGCCUAACUGCUGAAGGCUUUUGAGUUUGCUGACGAAAUAGAGAGGAAGGAUUAUUUCUCCAAACCAAGGCAACUUCGAAGGCUACUGAGAGAGCAAAGGGACAAGGGCUGACCUGACCGCCGAGGGGCCUCCGUGAAGAGGCCUUGCCUAUGUGGAGACUUGAAAGAAGGAUGGGUCUGUGGGACAAGGAAGGGAGGCCGUCCCAUCCGCGGGAAGGACGUUUACCGAGGCACCAGGACAUGAGAGCGCGGACUCCAGGGAACAGCUGAUACUCAUGGCCUGCAUGUGGGAUCCGUCCUUGGUUUAGAAACCAACAAUUCAAGGGCCAUAUACGAGAUAGUUCCUGAAUCAAGGUUAUUUCAGGCCGCUUUGGAAAUUCACCCAGGAAGUUUCAGUUGAAGCAGAUUUCAGAUACCUCAUGGUUUCAGGAUCUUCAAGAAGGCAAAUAGUAAAAUGAAAAACACGUGCAGGAAAUUAGGAUUGCAGUUGCCUGGGCCGCUGAAGGGGUUGCUACUGAGGGGGAAAGGCCUCGGAGGGGAUCUUCUUAUGUUGAAUGGAGAUGUGCAUGCAUAACAUCGUCCCAAAUCCAGAGAGAUACAUUGUGAGAGGGACUUGACCUGCACCCACUUUAGCUGGCUUUGAAGAUUGAGUGAGGGACCAUCAGCCAAGGCUUGUGGUGGCUUCUAGGAGCAGGGAACGACCCUCAACUGACAGCUGGUAAGAAAAUAGCCACAAGGAAACAAAUCCUGGCAACAC